CGUAACAAGGUUUCCGUAGGUGAACCUGCGGAAGGAUCAUUACAGUAGUCACCCGGGUUGCCGCAAGGCCUCUCGGGUAACCUACCACCCUUUGUUUAUUACACUUUGUUGCUUUGGCAGGCCUGCCUUCGGGCUGCUGGCUCCGGCCGGCGAGCGCUUGCCAGAGGAUCUAAACUCUGUUUGUCUAUACUGUCUGAGUACUAUAUAAUAGUUAAAACUUUCAACAACGGAUCUCUUGGUUCUGGCAUCGAUGAAGAACGCAGCGAAAUGCGAUAAGUAAUGUGAAUUGCAGAAUUCAGUGAAUCAUCGAAUCUUUGAACGCACAUUGCGCCCCCUGGUAUUCCGGGGGGCAUGCCUGUCCGAGCGUCAUUACAACCCUCAAGCUCUGCUUGGUGUUGGGCCCCGCCGCCCCGGCGGGCCCUAAAGUCAGUGGCGGUGCCAUCCGGCUCCGAGCGUAGUAAUUCUUCUCGCUCUGGAGGUCCGGUUGUGUGCUUGCCAUCAACCCCCAAUUUUUUUCAGGUUGACCUCGGAUCAGGUAGGGAUACCCGCUGAACUUAAGCAUAUCAA
RNAcentral lists this ribosomal RNA (567 nucleotides) under Geomyces sp. ribotype 4 LBC-2012. RNAcentral describes it as "eukaryotic LSU rRNA". The stretch from base 216 to 369 matches the Rfam family "5.8S ribosomal RNA". Lineage: Eukaryota; Fungi; Ascomycota; Leotiomycetes; Thelebolales; Pseudeurotiaceae. The record is from RNAcentral.